UCUAUCACGGAUCGCAUAACAUGGGCCU
This 28-nucleotide small RNA is filed under the name Bombyx mori (domestic silkworm). Its description in RNAcentral is "ovarian small RNA-29521". The record is from RNAcentral. Lineage: Eukaryota; Metazoa; Arthropoda; Insecta; Lepidoptera; Bombycidae.